Molecule: ribosomal RNA, 433 nt
Filed under: uncultured bacterium
Lineage: Bacteria
Description: partial 16S ribosomal RNA
Rfam family: Bacterial small subunit ribosomal RNA
Source: RNAcentral
AACGAACGCUGGCGGCAUGCCUAACACAUGCAAGUCGAACGAGACCUUCGGGUCUAGGGGCGCACGGGUGCGGAACACGUGGGAACCUGCCCGUAGGUUCGGAGUAACUGCCCGAAGGGGGUGCUAAUACCGGAGAAGGUCUUCGGGCCAAAGAGUUAUCGCCGUUGGCUGGGGGCGGGUAGGAUUAGCUGGUUGGUAGGGGAAAAGCCUACCAAUGCGACGAUGCAGAGCUGGUCUGAGAGGAUGAUCCGCCACGCUUGGACUGCGACACGGCCCAGACUCCUACGGGAGGCAGCAGUGGGGAAUAUUGGACAAUGGGCGCAAGCCUGAUCCCGCCAUGCCGCGUGAGUGAUGAAGGCCUUAGGGUUGUAAAGCUCUUUUACCCGGGAUGAUAAUGACAGUAACGGGUGAAUAAGCUCCGGCUAACUCCGUG